Long non-coding RNA from Setaria italica (foxtail millet), 2831 nucleotides. RefSeq lists it as uncharacterized. The record is from RefSeq and is a predicted model, not a curated record. The transcript has 4 exons. NCBI's taxonomy places the organism in Eukaryota, Viridiplantae, Streptophyta, Magnoliopsida, Poales, Poaceae.
UUUUCUCCAGCCGUGGUCCUACGGGCGCACGUGAGCUCCGCUGCGGUGGCCUCGCCCUCCUUCAAAGCCGUGCCGACUCUACUUCCUUUUCUCCCUCUCUCAUUCCCUUCUUCUUCCUCCAGCCAAGAAGAAAAUCGAGCUGGGCAGUUACCAUCCGUCGGGAAAAUCCGCCCUUCUCUAGCCACCGCAGCCCAAUAGCUCGCACCCUCAGCUUGACCACCUCCCCAACUCCCACCUCCGCCACUUCUUGACGAGCUCCAGCCACCUUGCGGGCACGAGUUGAGGAUCCCGUGGCCGCCGUUGCCGCCGGUCCCGAGCUCGUGGAGCAUCACCGUCCAAGCCACCCCCAACGUCGAGAACAACUCAAACGGAACCCAGUAAGCUCCUAGUGCCCAUGCGCCUGCAUCCUCCAUCUUUCUACCGCCACUGCUGCCGGAAAACACCGCGCCGUGCGUGGGCGUACCGCUCCCAAUUUCACCGUGCUAUGUCUUCUCGCCAGCUGCGCCCUAGGCCUCUCCUCUCUCGACAGCGCCGCACCUCACCUGGGCCCCUCCUCUCCCGACGGCUCUCCUUCUCCCUUUCUCCGGCGCGGGAGGGUGCGGGAGCGCGAGCUCUGCCGCCGCCGCCCCAACCAUCGGCGAGGCUCCGAUCUGUGUACCGCCGGGAGGAAGAAGAUGUUGACGAGUGGGGUCCGCUUGUCAGUGAGGAAGGGAGGGAGUUGAGUGGGGUGGAUUGUGAAUGACAUGUGGGGUCCACUCAUAAUACCAAAUGGCUUUCAGUUUUCUCAGAUAACAGCUUUUCCACAACCCUCAGUUCACAACUAUUUUUUCAAAAGCCACACCUCAACCAAACACACCCUAAGGGCACACGAUGGUCCAACGGAGUAGAAAUGAUGUGGACCGUUAUAUUGAGAUUGAGCAGCUCUUAUUCGUCGACCGUGAUUAAUAAACACCUAACAGGAAGACGACCUAUAUUUGGACCGUUGAACGUUUCAACAAAGGCAGCAAAUCGAAGACGGUCGACGAGAUGCAGGCGGGCUGAAGUCAGUUAUUAUUGAGAUCCGCAAAUAGUUAAUGCGCCCCAUGCAUCGGUAGGCUACGCCCUGCCGGCGGCUAUAGAUGUCCAUGCAGCCCGCAGCCCGACAGCCCGGCACGAAGCCCGAUUUUUUAGCCCAUCCAAGCUCGGCCCAGCUCGUAACUCCUCGAGCUCAGGCUAGCCGACCCGAUGGCUCGUGCCGGGCGUGGGCUAGUGCCUCGGCCCGACGGGCGGCACGGCCCAGCACAAAAUCGAAUGGCCAUCCCGUUACCGGCCCGUCUAUCAAAUGGUCGCCUGGCGGCCUGGCACAACCUAGCAACGAUCGGGAGUGGGGACAUAUAUAACUAACCCCCCCUCCCCAGUUCUCGGUCGCGCCCCCUCCGUAGACCCUACCCCUCGUCCCUUCCGCCCGCUGCCUCCUCGCGACCUCGCCUCGACUCCUCUGCUCCCGGCUCCUCGCCUCCUCCCGUCCCGCACCCGCAGUCCCUCUCCGCGCCUCCGCGUCCCAGUUGCCUUGCCGCCAGCCGCCGCCACCACCCGCUGCUCUCUCUCUCUCUGCCUCUCUCAGCUUCGGCUGGAUCCGCCAGCACCAUCGCACCGCUGGCCCGCUGCUCUCGUUCUCCUGAUCUAGAUCUAGAUCCUCCUGAUCCUCUUCUUGUUCUCCUGAUCUUGUUCCUGUUGUCCUCUCUAGCUCCGGGCUGCAGCGUCGCUGGUUAGUUGUAGAUGCUCCUAAUCCUCUUCUUGUUCUCCUAGAUCUAGAUCAUCCUGAUCCUCUUCUUGGAGGUAUCCGUCGACCGUCGGGUGGCGGGUGCCGCGCGCCAUUGAGGAGGGACGGAGCGGCUGUGGUGUCACGACCGUUGGCCUUCGUCCUCUCACAGAUCCUCUAGGCAUCUCAUCAUCCCGUCAUCUUCUCCUGCUCCUGGCUCCAGUGUCGCAGGUAUCUGUCGGGUGUCGCGCGCUAGGGAUGGAGCGGUUGAGGAGCGGUUGAGGGACGCCGAAGGAAGCUAUCGCCUGCCACACGAGGUCAUCGUGAUGGACGAGAACUACACCAUCAAUGACGACCUAAGGGCUUGUGGGCUGCCACGCGCACCAUUGUUCCUGAUCCUCUUUUUAUUCUCCUGAUCUUGUUCUGAUCCUAACCCUCUUCUUGUUCCUAAUCUUGUUCUUCUUGUUCUCAUAGGCGACGAUGAGGACGACAUGGCUGCCGGAGCCGUGGCACUCUUCAGUAGCUUUGUUGCUCCCGUCAAUGUGGAUGCUGCCGGUGUUGGAGGUUCUACCCCAUCUUCUACGCCGACUACCUCAACGGGCACCAGUGUCCGCAAGGGGAAGUGACGAUCUGCUGCAUGGAACGACUUUGAGGAGUUGUUCUAGGAAGGCGCCAAUGGGAAGCAGGUGAGGGUGAUCGAGAAGAGGUGUCGGCGGUUGUUGCCGGAGACGGUGGAGAUGCUGACCUGCCUCAAGGAUUGGGAGUUGGGAGAUGCAAGGGCACAACCUGAUGUUGAGAAGGAGAUCAAUGAACUAAGGAAAUAUACAGAAGCCCCUACCAAGACCAAGAUGAAGGCCAAGCUAGUCAAUCUACCCCGGGAGCAAGCUGAAGCUGAACCCUAUUCUAUUGGAUUGUUGCCUGACUGCCUGUUGGUGUUCUAAUUCUAUACUUCUAUGUCUGUCUGUGUGUGUCUGUAAUGUUGAAUUCAACUUGACCAUUGAACUUGAGCUGGCUGUACUCUUUUUCCCUUUCUAGGGUUUUCUCACAAGGGUGAGUUUUUACCUAUGAAGGUUUUUAAUGAGGCAGCCAA